Molecule: ribosomal RNA, 270 nt
Filed under: uncultured bacterium
Lineage: Bacteria
Description: partial 16S ribosomal RNA
Rfam family: Bacterial small subunit ribosomal RNA
Source: RNAcentral
GAUGAACGCUAGCGGCAGGCCUAAUACAUGCAAGUCGGACGGGAUUUGGGAGCUUGCUCCCAAUGAGAGUGGCGCACGGGUGCGUAACACGUAUGUAACCUACCUUUGUCAGGGGGAUAGCCUCUCGAAAGAGAGAUUAAGCCCGCAUAAAAUCACACUGUGGCAUCACAGAAUGAUCAAAUAUUUAUAGGACGAAGAUGGGCAUGCGGAACAUUAGCUAGUUGGCGGGGUAACGGCCCACCAAGGCUACGAUGUUUAGGGGAUCUGAGA